AGAACAGUGCAUACACAGUUCAUCAUCACAACUCUAAUCCUAUAACAAUAAAAAACUUUAAAAACAAUGAUCAACCCAAAACGCAAAAUUCACAGGUAUAAUAACCCUAACAAAUAUUGAAAUGAAACAAGAAAUCUGAGCGGAGCAAUGCCCCUGGUAAACAAAAUAUACCUAAACACUCAGAGCAAAAGUAGCACUGUAAAAUGGAGUCCAACCAAAACAAGUGUCAAGCACAAACAAUCAUAAAAUCUCUGAGAUAAAAGUUAGUAAGUAGUAAUUAAUGAUGAAAACCCUGAGUACAGAUUCAAAAUUUUAAUUUUUUUUUUUUAAAGACACAGAAAAGCAGAAUAACUAAUUUAUUUUGACUUUCUUGCUCCGACAACCUAAUACCUACUCCGACGAUCCACUUAGAUACACAAAUGCUCUAGCUUUUUCAUUUUAUCAUAAAUUGUGGGGUUAAUUAGAAAAGUAAUUCGAACUACUCUACUAUAAAAUCACUUUUAGAUAAAUAACAGUAAU
This 519-nucleotide long non-coding RNA is filed under the name Brassica napus (rape). RNAcentral describes it as "long non-coding RNA (BNAP_LNC013231)". The record is from RNAcentral. Lineage: Eukaryota; Viridiplantae; Streptophyta; Magnoliopsida; Brassicales; Brassicaceae.